AGUGAACGCUGGCGGCGUGCUUAACACAUGCAAGUCGAACGAGAACGGGUUAUAGCUUGCUAUAAUUGUCAGCUAAGUGGCGCACGGGUGAGUAAUGUAUAGGUAAUAUGCCUCUUACUAAGGAAUAACAAAUGGAAACGUUUGCUAAUACCUUAUACUCCUUAUUAACAGAAGUUAAUAAGGGAAAGAUUUAUUGGUAAGAGAUUAGCCUGUAUUGUAUCAGUUAGUUGGUGGGGUAAUGGCUUACCAAGACUAUGACACAUAACUGGUUUGAGAGGAUGAUCAGUCACACUGGAACUGAGACACGGUCCAGACUCCUACGGGAGGCAGCAGUGGGGAAUAUUGCACAAUGGACGAAAAUCUGAUGCAGCAACGCCGCGUGGAGGAUGACACAUUUCGGUGCGUAAACUCCUUUUAUAUGAGAAGAUAAUGACGGUAUUAUAUGAAUAAGCACCGGCUAACUCCGUGCCAGCAGCCGCGGUAA
RNAcentral lists this ribosomal RNA (484 nucleotides) under uncultured bacterium. Its description in RNAcentral is "partial 16S ribosomal RNA". It matches the Rfam family "Bacterial small subunit ribosomal RNA", at positions 29 to 523 of the family's 1533-position model. The record is from RNAcentral.